CUCAGGAUGAACGCUAGCUACAGGCUUAACACAUGCAAGUCGAGGGGCAGCAUGGUCUUAGCUUGCUAAGGCCGAUGGCGACCGGCGCACGGGUGAGUAACGCGUAUCCAACCUGCCUUACACUCUUGGACAGCCUUCUGAAAGGGAGAUUAAUACAAGAUGUUAUCAUGAGUAAGCAUUUUCACAUGAUUAAAGGCUUACCGGUGUAAGAUGGGGAUGCGUUCCAUUAGAUAGUAGGCGGGGUAACGGCCCACCUAGUCUUCGAUGGAUAGGGGUUCUGAGAGGAAGGUCCCCCACAUUGGAACUGAGACACGGUCCAAACUCCUACGGGAGGCAGCAGUGAGGAAUAUUGGUCAAUGGACGAGAGUCUGAACCAGCCAAGUAGCGUGAAGGAUGAAGGUUCUAUGGAUUGUAAACUUCUUUUAUACGGGAAUAAACGAAUCCACGUGUGGAUUUUUGCAUGUACCGUAUGAAUAAGGAACGGCUAACUCCGUGCCAGCAGCCGCGGUAAUACGGAGGAUCCGAGCGUUAUCCGGAUUUAUUGGGUUUAAAGGGAGCGUAGAUGGGUUGUUAAGUCAGUUGUGAAAGUUUGCGGCUCAACCGUAAAAUUGCAAUUGAUACUGGCAGUCUUGAGUACAGUUGAGGUAGGCGGAAUUCGUGGUGUAGCGGUGAAAUGCUUAGAUAUCACGAAGAACUCCGAUUGCGAAGGCAGCUUACUAACCUGUAACUGACAUUGAUGCUCGAAAGUGUGGGUAUCAAACAGGAUUAGAUACCCUGGUAGUCCACACGGUAAACGAUGAAUACUCGCUGUAGGCGAUAUACAGUCUGCGGCCAAGCGAAAGCAUUAAGUAUUCCACCUGGGGAGUACGCCGGCAACGGUGAAACUCAAAGGAAUUGACGGGGGCCCGCACAAGCGGAGGAACAUGUGGUUUAAUUCGAUGAUACGCGAGGAACCUUACCCGGGCUUAAAUUGCAACCGAAUAUGGCGGAAACGCUAUAGCUAGCAAUAGCGGUUGUGAAGGUGCUGCAUGGUUGUCGUCAGCUCGUGCCGUGAGGUGUCGGCUUAAGUGCCAUAACGAGCGCAACCCUUGCCGAUAGUUACUAACAGGUUAUGCUGAGGACUCUGUCGGGACUGCCAUCGUAAGAUGUGAGGAAGGUGGGGAUGACGUCAAAUCAGCACGGCCCUUACGUCCGGGGCUACACACGUGUUACAAUGGGGGGUACAGAGGGCUGCUACCACGCAAGUGGAUGCCAAUCCCAAAAACCUCUCUCAGUUCGGAUUGAAGUCUGCAACCCGACUUCAUGAAGCUGGAUUCGCUAGUAAUCGCGCAUCAGCCACGGCGCGGUGAAUACGUUCCCGGGCCUUGUACACACCGCCCGUCAAGCCAUGGGAGCCGGGGGUACAAGAAGUGCGUAACCGCAAGGAGCGCCCUAGGGUA
This 1439-nucleotide ribosomal RNA is filed under the name uncultured organism. RNAcentral describes it as "SSU rRNA". It matches the Rfam family "Bacterial small subunit ribosomal RNA". The record is from RNAcentral.